GACAUCAAACCUCACAAGAUUUUGUUAGACCACAACUUCACCCCUACGAUCUCUGACUUUGGUCUAGCUAAGCUGUGUUCCAAGGAGCAAAGUGCUGUUUCCAUGACAGCAGCCAGAGGAACCAUGGGUUACAUAGCACCUAAGGUAAUCUCUAGGAACUUUGGAAAUGUUUCAUAUAAAUCAGAUAUUUAUAGUUUUGGAAUGCAACGACUUGAAAUGGUUGGAGGGAGAAAAAACAUUGAUGUUACAGUGGAGAAAACAAGUCAGGUCUACUUCCCAGAAUGGGUGUAUAAUCAUUUGGACAAAGAAGAAGAGUUAGGAAUGAGAAUUGAAGAUGAAAGGCAAUCCUUGAUAGCAAGAAAACUUUCAAUUGUUGGACUAUGGUGCAUUCAAUGGUUUCCAGUAAAUCGUCCUUCAAUGAAAGCUGUUAUUCAAAUGUUGGAAGGUGAGGCAGACAGUCUCACUAUGCCGCCAAAGGCCAAAUCCUUUUGCUUCCACAGAUAAUAUGAAGCUGGGUGCUUCCAAGUAUAAAAAACCUGUUGAUAUAGAGCUAGAAAUUAUUGCUGAGUAGACAUAGUGCAGCCUUAAGUCUAGAAAAGAACUUUAUGUGGCUAAUAAAGUAAACCAGACAGAUGCAUAUGUAUUCUAUCAUUACAAUUAUGAGUUCAUUUACUUAAAUAAAUUUGCUGUUUUUGUACUAAACAUUGCCCAUGGCACAUAAACACUCUCUUACGUCUUUCUUCUUGUAUUAACUUAAUUUGAUUUUAACUCAAAUAAAAAUUAUAAUUACAUAAAUAGUAUUAUAUUUUAUUUGUGAACAACUAUAUAGGCAUGUUUUUUUAACGUAAUUUAUAAAUUUUUAUUAACUGAUUAGGUAUAUAAGUUGCUGCGUCGAGUACUGAAUUAGUGGAAUUCCAAUUAACCCGCAAUUGAACUAUUUAGACUCAUACUCAGCACUAUUCAUAAAGCCAGGUCCAACAUUUAAUACCCAUACAUCUAUUUGGUCGAUGCUUUUGUCCCUUGUAUCCAAAUAAUUUCCUUAAGCAUGCCUUAAUUACUUGGAUGGUGAUCAUUUUAGAAAAACUUCUAGCUAGUUUACACAAAUUAUCUAGUUGGGGCCUUCCAAUAGCUAGUAGCUCUCCUUUGCUAUGUACUCAAGCAAUGGAAGAUAGAAACCACCUCUUUUUCAUACUCUAAACAAGUCUUGUCCAAGGUCUUAUAAUGCUUACAGAUAAAUAAGUUAGUGGGAGACUUAUCUUAGAAAGCAAAGAGGUCCUUUAAAAGGCAAAUGUGUAGGUUGGGCAUCAGAAGCCAAGAUAAAAGCCCAAAAAUCAUAAAUGGGUAUAUUCAUAAUUUUAAUGUUUUCCUUGUUUAGUUAUGAGUCUUACAUAAGAAUUAUAGAUAUAAUAUAUUUUCCUUUUAUUUUAUUUUAUUUGGACAACAAGUAAGCUUAGGUUUAGGAAUUUACUUUUCUUAUUCUCCAAGGAAGUCUUGGGUAGAAUACUUCUUUAUUUUAAUUUACUUUACUUGCACUCCAAGUUUAGGUUAAGUAAGAUUAGACUAUUAUAAAUAGCACCCUUAGGCUUAGCUUUUAGAAAACUUAAGCUUAUCUUUUAUGAAUUAUUGAAUGAUAUUGUAUUUUCUCUCAAAUUUUGAGUCUAAGUUUCUAUGUUAGAAACUUGUUUAUCAAUCUUAAAGACUUUGUCGAGUGCAAGUCUUUAUUUCACGCUAACUCGCUGCGUCAAGAUGUCUCAGAGUAACUAAUCCCAGAAUAGCCUGAAGAGCACACCUAUAUUUCAUCUAGCCUAAAAGAAAUUGCAAACGGCAUGGGAAGCAUCCUAGUGAAGCUAUUGGGGUAUUAGAAUAUUAGUCGGUACUUUUAAAUGCAAACCGAACAAAAAUCUCAGCCUACUUUAGAUAGGAAUAAAUCUCUAUGUUAAAUUGGGGAAUUUAUAGUUAACACAUACUUGAUGCACUUCAUUGGGGAAUAGUAAGACAUCAGCAUAAACACACAAGACAAGGAACUAUAUGUUGUUUUAGUAGGGAAUGGAAGUAGCACUAAUUUAUUAGAAUUGAAUUAAUCAAUAAUUGAAGAAUCAUUUAGAAUAUUUGUUUACAAUGUGAACACAGUUUUAUAAAUAUUAAAUAAGAUAGAAAAAUUUUGAUGAUAUACAAGGCAUAUUGACCAACUAUGUGCCUGUAAUAAUUAAAAAUAUAUAACGUUAUUAGUUGUUCCAGAGGGGAUAACUUAGAGAUUAAAACUUAACAUUUGAUAUUGAGAGUCUUUGAUUCUAAUCUUAAAUCAAGUGGAAUGAGAUAUAGCAUACAUGAUAGGGCUCCGUUGGAUAACUCAAAAUAGCUAAAAUUGGAAACAAUUCACCAUUCAAUUUAAAUUGGUUUUUUACUUACACUUUUUUUUUCUCUUUUUCCUCUUAUCUGCCCAAUUCAUAUAGCACAUAAUUGUUUAAUGGAAAAAAAAAGAAAAAGAAAAGAGAAAAGAACAUGUCAUAAUUCGUGAUCUCUUUCAUUGUUAUCAUAAUUUACAUAAUAAUACUUAUUUUACCUAAUGAAAAUUAUUUUUAUUUAUCUGUAUCAAUAUGAAGUGUGAAGGUUAUUAGUACACCCUACACAUGUAAGCCAGAUGAAUGAUGAAAUCGUUUUGCGCAUGAACCUUAAUGAAAAAGAAAAGUGCAAGCUAAAGAAGGAUUAAAGAGGGUGACACAUUGUGUGAAGAAAUUAACUAAAAGAAGAUAAGAUUUUCGGAAUUCAGUUUUGAUACCACAUGCUAAAGAGGAAGCUGUUAGAAAAAUUGGGAAAUAAAUGAAAAUAAAAUAAAGCAAGUAAAAACAAUAAGAAGUCUGAGGCAUGGUAUCAUUGUCGUUAAAGAUAACUUUCACUUUUUCAGAGUACAAAACUUGGUGUAAAAAGACUGUAGCGGUUAUCCUCCAAUAUUUAAUUGACUCUUCCUUAUAGUUUAUACAAACUAGUAAUGGAUAGUAGGAAUAGCAGAAAGAUUUUUUUUUUUUUGGAGAAAAAGAAAAACCCAACAGGAAAGGAAAGAAAGCAGAGAAAAUAUGCAAAAAACAAAUAAAAAGUAUACAAAGAAUAGGAGAUGAGAAGCUUGGUGUAUAUUGUGACUAAGGUAAGGAAGUUGUAUUUAUAAGAAAAGAAUGAAGUGAACGUUGUACCAAAUCAGGAAAAUGAGGUGAUCGUUGCACCAAAUUAGAGGGUUGAGAAAAAAUCUUAUUAGAGUUCGAGUAUGAUCUAGUGUAUACUCGCGCAUAGGGGGGAAAUAUGAAUUUUCUCAAAGUUUAGCCUGAUCUAGUGUGCAUGCGAGCCCACUCCUUUUUUCUGUUUUGCAACAAGCCCAUAAUGGGGUGCUUAUUCAAAGUAUUCACACCUUUAUGUACCUUAGCAAUUUGGGAUGUUUGAACCUUAUGAAAUACACUAUUUUUCCAACAAUGUCCCACAUAUUUCAUAAGGUUUCAUAAGAAGUUUUGCUUGGUCAAAUUUCAUUUAAGUGUAAUGCGUUGUGAUUGGUGCUUUUUAAGCUAUGAACCACCCUUAGAGAGAAUGAAAUAUAAAUCACAGAAUUUUGAUGACGUUUAUAACUUAUGUGAACCAAAAUUCUUUAUGUGAAAUAUAGAUUUCAUCAAUCACAUUGCACCCCUACAAUUUCUACUGUUCAAUGCAAUUUUGUGCAAAUAGGCCAUGCACAUGCUUGGUAAUUCAUAAGUGCUAUAGAGAAUUUACCCCAAUUCUCAUAAGAGUGGGGUUAGGGUAAUUCAUAAGUGCUUUAGAGAAUUUGCCCCAAUUCUCAUAGGAGCGAGAGCGGCCCCACUCCACACUUAUAUAGGUGAUUUCAUGAAGUAUAUAAUGUAGUUUAAUACACUACCCAUAGAGGAUAUGGAAUUCAUUAAGAGUUUAACUCAACCUCUUUUGUAUUGCAGUUUUACACUAUUCACACAUUAUAGGAGGGACAAUAAUUUUAAUAAUGCAUGAAUUUAUCAAUAAAUAACUUGUUAUUACCCAUAUGAACCUAAUUCAUGGGAUCUCUAAUCAUAUAGAUUAGGUUACCAUUAUUUGUUGAUUUCCUCCAUUGGCUUAAGUCCCAUUCCCUCGAUGUAGUAUUAAUUAAUUUUCUUCCAAGAGUUUUAGUUAAAGGAUCAACUAAAUUCAGUUUUGAUUUCACAUAAUUAAUAGAUAUAAUUCCAUCUCUAAACAACUACUUUAUUACAUCAUGUUUUAAACGAAUUUGUCUAUUUUUACCAUUGAAAGUUUUCUUUUUUGUAAUGGCUAUUGCCAUUGACAAUCACAAUGUACAGACACAAAAGGUGUAAGUUUCAUUCUUAACAAAAUAUUUGCUAAGAGAUUUCUCAACCACUUAGCCUUAUUGCUAACUAACUCUAAAGCUACAAAUUCUGACUCCAUUGUAGAUUUUGCAUUAUUGUUUGUUUGGUUGAUUUCUAAGUUACAGUACUCUUACCAAAGGUGAAUACAUAACCACUUGUGGAUUUUGUCUAAUUUGAAUAUGAGAUCGAGUUAGUAUCAUUGUGUCUUUCUAAUGCAGUGGGAAAUUUAUUAUAUAAAAUACCAUAGUUUAAAGUACCUUUCAAAUAUUUCAUCAUUUUGCUUAAGGCAAUCCAAUGAUCUUUAUUAGGACUUUUUGUAUAUCUACUUAGUCUAAAAACUGCAUAAGCUAUAUCAAGUCGAGUAUAAUUCAUCAAAUGCAUUAGACUUCCAAUAAUUUGUGCAUACUUAGACUGAGCUACACUAUCAUCUCUAUUUUUCUUUAAUUGGAUAUUAUUGUCAUAAAGAGUACUCACAAGUGUGACAUCAAAAUAUCCAAACAUUUUAAGUAGCCUUUCAACAUAAUACUCUCGUGUUAGUGUUAAACCACUAUCACAUCUCAUGAUUUUAAAAUCCAAAAUAACAUUAGCUUCUAAAUAUUUCAUAUCAAAUUUAGAAAUUAAGAAACAUCUUGUUUUAUUUACCACAUCAAUGCAUGUACCAAAAAUAAGCAUAUCAUCAACAUAUAAGCUAAUAGUCACACAUUUACUAUCAACAGUUUUUGUGUAUAUACAUUUAUCAACUCCAACAAUAGAAAAUCUAUUACUAACAAGAACUUGAUCAAAUUUCUCAUGCCAUUGUUUUACUGCUUGUUUCAAGCCAUAUAAGGACUUAGUCAAUUUACAAACUUUGUUUUCUUGACCAGGAAGAACACAUCCCUCGAGUUGUGCCAUAUAAAUUUUUUUUUCUAAAUCAUAAUUUAAAAAAACUGUUUUAACAUCCAUUUGAUGAACAACAAGUUUCUAAAUUGAAGCUAAUGCAAACAAAACACGAAUAGAUGAAAUUCUUGUUGUUGGAGCAAAAGUAUCAAAAUAGUCAAUAUUUUGCUUUUGAAUAAAACCUUUUGUAACUAAUCUAGUGUUGUAUUUAUCAAUAGAACUAUCAAGAUUAAAUUUUCCUUUAAAAAUUCAAUUUGCAACCAAUUGGUUUGGCUUUAGGUGGUAAAUCCACUAAUUCUCAUAUUUAAUUUUGUAAAAUCAAAUCAAUUUCAUUUUGUAUAGUUUCUUUCCAAAAUGGACUUUCUUUAAAAAAAAUUGCAUCAGCAUAAGUUAAAGGAUCAUUAUCUACAAGAUAAGUAUAAAAAUCAUUACCAAAAGAAAUUUCUUUACAUGGUCUUAUAUUCCUUCUCAAAUCAUCAUUUUGUAUUUCAAAAUUAUUUUUACUAAAAAGUGCAUGAGAAAUUGUAUCAGCUCUUAAUGGAAAAAUAUGUUAAAAAAAUUUAACAUUUUUUAUUUCAACAAAUGUAUUAUAAUGAAGAACAUCACUUUUUAAUACAAGAAAUCUAUAUGCAGCACUAUGUUCAGCAUAACUAAUAAACAUGCAAUCAAAUGUCUUAAAGCUAAUUUUUCUCUUUUUAAAGUCAGGAAGCAUUAGCUUAGCAAGACACCCUCAAACUUUCAAAUAUUUUAAGUUAGGAGAAUAGCCUCUCCAUAAUUCAUAAGGUGUCCUACCAAUUUUCCAUAAUUGAUUUUCUACCUCUACUUUAUACUUAAUAAACAUGUGAAAAACUUCAUCUUUAUACCUAAGUAAAUAAACUUUAGUUAAUAAAUCUAACAUAGUAUUACUUACCACCUCUAGUCAUAGUUUGUUUUAGAUCUCCUAAGUCAGUAUGAAUUAAACUUAGUUUUUCAAAUUCUCUAUUUACUAAAAUACAAGUUUUCUUAGUUGAUUUCGUUUCAGCACAUAUUUCACACUUAUUAAAGCAUCUAUUUUUAAUACAAUAAAUUAAACCUAGUGAUUGCAUUUUCUUAAUAUAGGGAAUGCAAACAUGUCCUAGUCUACCAUGCCAUAAAUCAAUAGAGUCAAUCAUGUAAAUAGAAGAACUAACUUUUUCAUUUAGAACAUUUGAAAUGUUAAGUACAAAGAGUCCAUGAUUGCAAUAUGUCUUACCCAUAAAUACAUUAUUUUUUCUCAUUACGAACUUGUCAGAUUUGAAUGACACUUUCACCUCAACCUUUCCCAAUAAAGCCACAAAAACCAAGUUGGCCCCUAUAUUGGGAACAUGAAGAGCAUCAUUCAGAGCUAGGGUCUUGCUAGAUGUGAGCGUGAGAAGGAUUUUCCCUUUACUAAGAACUUGAGUAGUUCAAGAAUCACUAAGGUAUAUUAUCUCUUCUUUGUCCCUUAUUGGAGUAUAGAAGGUAAAGGCAUUUCUGUUUGCACAAAUAUGCUUGGUAGCACCUGAGUCUACUACUUAUUCUUUCACACUAACCACCACAUUUGAUUGUGAAAUGACCACAUCAAUUACAUCAUUGGAUUCAUCUGCUUUGACCAAGUUGACUCUUGAAUUAAUAGGUUUGUCAUUUCCCUUUGCUCUCUUCCUGCAUUACGAUGCAUGAUGCCUUGGCUUUCCAUAAACAAAAUAACUACUUUCCUUUUUAAAGGCGGGAUGGGGAGUUUUGGGUUUAUAAUCAAGUUUAUGAAGGUACCUCCGUUGACGUUAGGUUCUGCCUUGUACCAAAUUGGCUUUAGUUAUAACUUCCUUAGCUUUUAAGGCCUUAAUCUCCCUCCGGGUUGUGUCUCCAAUGAUGAUGUGCACAAUCAAGUCUACAAGUGACAAUUGCUUUUCCUUGUGCUUUAGUUGUUGCUUGUAGCCAUUCCAAGAUUCUGGCAACUUUUAAAUUAACAACUUAGCAACAAACUCUUCUUGUAAGUUGAUUUUUUUAGCCUUCAAAUCAUCCACUAGCUUGUGGUAUUCAUUGAUUUAACUCUUGAUGUCCUUGUCAUCCAUCAUAUUUCAGCGAUAGAAGUUGCCAAUAACGAAUUUCUAUUUCUCAACAUAUUCAGCAGUGUAUUUAGCAAUCAUUGACUCCCAUAUUUGCUUUACUUCUUUGUACGAAUUGUAUAAAUCAAACAGCUCAUUAGAAAAUGUGCUAAUGAUCAUAUGCCUGCAUACCUUAUUUGCGUGUAUAUAUGGUUUUAGCAUUUUGACAUCAUCUGGCUUGGAACCAAUUAGCAUAAAAGCCACACCAUGAACAUCAAGGAUUGAAAAAAUCUUUUCUUGCUAUCUUGUGAAGUUUCUGCCCUUAAAAACCUCAAAUUUAGAAAUAUUUAGAAAUGGUUUGGCAUAUGAGACCGAAGGCAUAGAAGGAAUAGUCAAUGGAAUGGAAGCCAUGGUGGAACCAUUGACAGUGGUGGUGGUAGUAGGGAUAGAGGCAACAGUAGGAAUAGUGGCAACAAUAUUAUCAAUGUGAAAAUUCAUUAUCCUUAAGAUUGUUAGAAAGUCUGAGAAACAAAUGAAAAUAAAAUAAAGCAAAGAAAAACAGUAAGAAGUCUGAGAUGUGGUAUCAUUGUCCUUAAGGAUAAUUUUUACCCCUUCAGAGUGUAAAACUUGGUGCAAAAGGACUAUAACAGUUAUCCUCUAAGAUUUAGCAGACCCUUCCUUAUAGUUUGCACAAACUAGUAAGGGGUAGCAAGAACAGUAGAAAUAUUUUUUUUUUAGAGAAAAAAAAAAACCUAGUAGGGAAAGAAAGAAAGUAGAGAAAAUGUGUAGAAAAUAUAGAAAGAGUAUGCAGAGAAGAGGAGAUUAAAGGCUUGGUGUAUAUUGUGACUAUGGUAGGGAGACUGUAUUUAUAGGUAGAGAAUGAAGUGAAUGUUCCACCAAAUUAGGAGAAUGAGGUAAAUGUUGCACCAAAUUAGGGAGUUGAGGAAAAACCUGGUCAACAUGUAUACUCAGUCAGGUAGAUGUUGUAGCAAAUAAGGAGAAUUAGGAAAACUCAGUCAAUAUGGUAGAGUUUGAGUUUGAUUACUGGGAAAGCUUAAAAAAAUUAAAGCCAAUGUAAAAAAAAUUCACUUGGGCCUAGCCCACGUAUAUACUUGUGCACAGGGAAGGGAAACUAUGAAUUUUCUCAAGGCAUAACUCGAUCUCGUGUGUGCGUGAGCCCACUCUUUUCUUCCUUUUUUGCAACAAGCUCAUAAUGGGUUUACUUAUUUAAAGCACUCACACCUUUAUAUAACUUAGUAAUAUGAGAUAUUUGAACCUUAUUAAAUACACUAUUUUUCCAACAGAAGUUGGGUGAAAAGUUAUCCUAAAAGCUUAAGUUGAAAGGGAAAGAGUUCAACUUUUAUAUUUAAGCUCUAAAAAGGAUAAUGGAAAAAACAAAGAAAUUCUUACGUAUACCAAAACAGAAAAGAGAAGCACCGUUCCAACAUAACUAGUUGAAAAAUCAAAUUAUCAAUUUAAACCCAUAAUUGAUAAAACACAUCUAAGAUUACCAUAAACACGAAAAUACUCAAAACAAGAAAAGGAGAAAAAGAGUAGUUACGGGCUGAGGCAGGCAUGCCCAUAAUGUAUAACACAAUCAGCAUCAAUAUGGGAAGCUCCAACCUCUUCAACUCAACUUCUCAACGCUGUUUGCCUUUACUAAUAACCCAACUCUAUUACCUGACCCAAGUUUGUUUCUUGAUGAAGUAACCACUUUCGUAGCAUGUUUCAACAAGUGAUCUGGGAACUGUAAAACCAAAACUCACUUUUUCAUUCAACAACUAAAACAAAGAAAAGCAACUCUGGCGAAAUUCCUGCUUAGAAUGAACUCUGCUGUGCGGCUAAUUUCGAAGUUCGAUUCCAAGUCUGGGGCUACUGGGUGAUUGGCUCUCCCUCUGGCAUAGAAGGCCGAGCCCAUGUAAUUUUAUUUAUGACUAUUUUAUUUCUCAUGGGUUAGCUAUACAUGCAAAAGAAAUUUUCAUUAUAAGUUAAUCUAAUACUGAGGUAUUUAUAAUUAAUCUUAAAAAGUAAUUAAAAUACGAUAAUUAAUUUUUUAAAAUAUUUAAAUAAAAUAAGCUAAUUAUAAUUUUUAAUUACUUAAGAAAGCAAUAGAAUUAAAGAGAUCCAUUUCCUUUUUAUUAAUUUGUCAGCUUCCUAGUACUAAUCAAAUUUUUAUUGUGAUUAAAAAAUUAUGUUUUCGACUUAAAAAAAAAGCUAAGUAUUUUCUAAAUGCUAUCAUAUUAAGUCAAUAUAUUUUAAAAUCAAUUUAUUUUAAAUUUCAAAAAUUCUUCGUCCAAACACAUCUUAAAGGAAAAUAUUGUUGCUAAAAGUUAUGUUCUAUUUUUUUCUUUCUCCAAAUCCUUUUUGUUUUUUGAAGAAAAAGAGAUUUAAGCUCAACUCAUUAGAUAAGAGAGUUACUUAAAACAAGAUCGAAAUGAGCUUGGUUUUCAUCCAGAAUUACAAUAUUUUAUUGGAACUAAAUAAAAUAUAGGGUCAGAUUGAAACUAGGAAAAGAAUUACCGAACAAAGUCAUUAAUAUCGGGUCACAAGCAAAAUAAUAAAGUUAAAUGAAUAAAAAUGGAGCUUGGAUAGAAAUCUUAAUUCAAAUCUUUGUACUCUCUUUUAUCAUAUAUAUAUAUAUAUAUAUAUAUAUAUAUAUAUAUAUAUAUAUUAUUAUUUAAAGAUUAUAUGUCUGAAUAUUUAAUUUAAUAGUAAGUAAAAUACAUCCACUUAUUGGAAAAAUUGAGUACAAAUCUUCCUUUACCUAAUAAAACAAAGUAGCAAAUUUAUUCUUGACGAAAAACUCACGUCUUAAUUAAUUUCAAUAAAAUAAAAAGAAAUAAAUUAAAUUAAUUAUCACAAUCAUGCAUGUAUACAUGAAUAAAUCUUGAGAAUUAAAUUGAUAUACUAGUGAUAUUGGAGCAUUCAGCUCUCCUCUAUCAUUUUAAUAUUCAUUACUUUUCAAUAUAUUUUUAAUCAUCAUUUAUAUCUAUGAGUUCACAAUUCAAAAAUUAAAUCUUACUUAUAUGAACAGUAAUUAAAAGUAUAAUAAUAAAAAGUCACAAUUAGAAAAAUAAAUAAAACGAAACCAAAAUCCUACAUCAGGGACAAGGGAGUAAAACAUUAUAAUUAAUGGUUUCCAUAUUUCACAUCUCAAUAUUUACAUUUGAGGCACUUCCAUGCUCAUGGUGGUAGCAUCAAGGGUCGACGUCGUAGGCUCGUCUUCCCUAUUGCAACUCGCAAAAUCCUUGGAUGACCUUCCAAAAGAAAAUUCAAAAGGUUGCGGAGGUAGUUCAAGUACUUCAACCUCACCUUCAAGCAUCUCUAAGACCUUACUUAUCGAAGGACGAUCAGUAGGCCUCAUUUGUAUGCACCAAAAAGCAACUAUGACCAUCUUCCUUACAAUUUUCUUUUCACUCUCAGUGGCAUCUCCUAACUCUGCAUCUUCCCCUUUCUCAAAUCGGUCGUAAAUCCAUGUUGGGAAAUAUAUUUGACUAGAUUGUUCAGCAAAUGCAUUCAAAUUUUUCCUCCUUCCCACCAUUUCCAUUAACAACAUUCCAAAACUAUAAACGUCAGCCUUGUGUGAGAUACUCCCAAUGUUCUUGUAAAACAAUUCUGGAGCAAUAUAUCCUAAAGUACCUCGUGCUGCAGUGAGAGACACAAUACUUUGAUCUACUGCAUACAAUUUUGCUAGGCCAAAAUCUGAAAUUUUCGGAAUGAAGUUCUUAUCUAGAAGAAUGUUAUGUGGUUUGAUGUCAAAAUGUAAAAUUUGCAUUUCACAACCUUGAUGCAAGUAUUCUAUUCCUCGGACCACUCCAAUUGCAAUCUCAAAUAUUUUUUCCCAACAUAAAGUGGUAUCCUUUUCUCUUGAAAAUAUGAUUUUAUCUAAAGAACCAUUUGGCAUAAAAUCAUAAACAAGUGCUUGUUUUGAUCCAUCUACACAAAAACCGAUAAGUUGUACCACAUUAACAUGAUGAAUCCUUCCAAUGGUAGCAACUUCAUUGAUGAAAUCUUGUCCAUGUGAUUUUGACAUUUCUAACAAUUUUACUGCAAUAGGACGCCCGCUUCGAAGUGUUCCUUUGAAAACUGAACCAUAACCACCUUGUCCUAAUUUAUCUUUAAAACAUUUUGUCAUUUUCUUUAUUUCUGAAUAAGAAUACUUGAUAGGCUUUAAAUUAUUUUGCAUUUGAAGAAACUCUUCAAUUGUAUCAUCUGUAGACAAAUGUCUCCUUCGAAACUUAAUUAGCACAACUACAAUCAAGCAUGAAACCCCCAAUAGAGUUCUAAUAAUAAUGUAUACUCCUGUACAAGAGAAUUAUUAAUAGGAAGACAUCAGCAUAAAUACAUAAGAUAAUGAACUAUAUAUUGUUUUAACAGAGAACGGAAGUAGUACUGCUUUAUUAGAAUUGAAUUUUUUAUAUAUAGCUAAAUAGGUUAGAAGAAGCUUUGAUGAUGUACAAGGCAUAAUGACUAACUAUCUAUUUUCACUAAUUAAAAAUAUAUAACGUUAUUAAUUAGUUGUCUCUGAGGGGAUAACUCAGAGAUUAAAACUUAACACUUCAUCUUGGGAGUCUUGAUUCCAAUUUUAAAUAAAGUGGAAUGAGAUUUACCAAAUGUGAUAACUCAAAAUAGCUAAAUAUUGGAAACUUCACCAUUCAAUUUAAAUUGAUUUUUUACUUCAUUCAAACUUUUUAAUAUGACACAUAAUUGUGUAAUGGAAAGAUUUAAAAAAAAAAAGAAAAAAGAAAAUGUCAUGAUUCAUGAUAUGAGCUCUUUGAUUAUUAUCAUAUUUUUUUAGAAUAAUACUUAUUUUACCUAAUGAAAAUUAUUUUUAUUUAUCUCUAUAUAUCCAUCAGAGGUGUGAGGGCUAUUAGUAUCUCGUAACUUCGGUUGUCAUGCACAAAAUCAUUAAAGCUUAAUUAAUUCAUGAGUAAAAGAGAUUCUCUCACCUGUGAUUAGAAAUAAAGCAUCUUCGAUUCCUGUUAAAAAGGGGUAAAGAUUAGCUUAAACAAAGGAAUAAGAAAUAAGCAAAAGCCACGAACAAAUUAUAGAUGAAGUGAAAAACAUACUAGUAUAAAAUUCUUGAGUGAAAUGUACCGGUGGAACGCCUAAGGUAAAAAACAUUCGCAAUUUGUAAAGACAGUCUAAACUGAUACCCUUCGCCCACAAAAAUCUGUGUCAAGAAUAAUAAAUUAUGUAAGAAAUACUUCGAAAACAACUACUUCAAAGAUUUUAAAUAUUUUUAAAAAAAAUUCUCAUUUUAGGAUCUAAUAUUUACCAAAUAUUUCAGUUUAAGAUCAAACUUUUUAUCUACUUUUUUAAAUUAAUCUAUUUUAUUCAUUUUAAAAAAUGAUAAAUAGUUAAUAAUUACUAUUAAUGAAAUUAAUUGUUUUUCUUGUGAGAAUAACCUUUAACAAAUAUAGCAAUAUAAAUUUGUAUAAUCAGUUCUUUAUAGAGCCCCAUAUAGUUUGCAAAGUUCAAUUUGAAAAUUUUUUGAUUACCUUGUAGUAUUUUGGUUUUUCAAAAAUCGAAUUAAUCAAUAAAAUGUUGCUUUUUUUUUUAAAUCAAACUGACUCAAAUCAAAUUUCAUGGAUUUGAUUUGAACUGUUAAGUUCUCUAAUUCUUUUAACAAAUGUUCUAUAUUAUUAAGUAAAUUUAAAAUAAAAUAAUAUUUCAUUAAUGAAAACUAAAAUGUUAUAUAAAAUAUAUUAUAAAAAACCAUUCUUUUUGAGUUGGGUAAUUUCAAUUUUUCGACCAAUAGAUAAAAAUCCAACCAAAUGGAAUACAUAUUUUUAGUAACCAAAUAGAUAAAAAUCCAACCAAAUGGAAUACAUAUUUUUAGUAAUGAAAUAAAAAACUGAAUGGAACGCAAUUUUCCAUUAUCUCAAAAUUUUCGCUUAGUUCUAAUUCUAUAGGAUGCUAAUAAAAAACUCUUUCACUAUUUUUUUUAAAUGGAUAAAAUUAAAAAAUUGCAUUUUAGUUUAAAAAAAUUGAAUUGUGAAAUAAAAUAUUUGAUAAAAAUUAGAUAUAAAAUAAGCAUUUAACCAUUUUUUUUCUACGUAGAGAAAAGGGAAUUUGAUCCUACUUGAUACAAAGAUGCGACUUGUAAAAGUAUCCUCUACUAGUAUUAAACAGAUAAUUUGAUGUUUUUAAUUUAAAUUAUCAAAUAAUAGUUAUUUUUUAUACUAGUAACUUAAACUAUUGUUCUUUAAAAAAAGGAGGUUUUAUGCUCGAAAUUCUUACAUAUAACUAAGUGUAAUUUUGUUGCGAUAGUCAGGAAAAUGUACACAUCUCAACGGCACGUCAUAACCCAUCAGGAACUUCUGGUGAACAUCGAAAAUAGAGAGACCGGUGACAUUAGGAGACCGAAACCAAAAUGGUCGCGGAGCCUGGACUUCAAUGGUGCAGGGUUCAAGGAAACCAGUAGCGUUGGGCGUCUUUCUGCUAAAUAAAGCAUAAAGGUGCGGAGAGAAGGAGGCGUUGGCGCAAGGAGAGGCAUCGAUGUAGAGCGGGGAGUUGAUGAGAACUUGGCAGCUUAAAAAAUAAAUAAAACUAUAUCCGCAUGGAAAGGAUUUGGGAAGAAUGGAGCAUUCAUCACUAUUCAGACUCCCAUCCACCAAUCGAAUGGUGUGAUUAUAAAAGAUGUCUAGGACAUAGAAUCUUCCAUAAUCAACAUCGUCCAAAAUGGUGCGAUUAUGUUCACAUACUAGUUCAUACUCGCCACAUUCGGGAGUGUCGCCCUUGAAUCUGAAAGGGCUGCGGAUGUUUAAAGCUCCGCAAGAGCGCUUGCAAUCGUGGGUGCCUCGUCUUGCAGCAUCAACGGCAUCAAGGAGCUGAGACAAAGCAAGGGCAAGAAGGCCCAAUAUUGCAAGCUUUGCCCUUAACAUAUUAGAAAAGAGUGAGACGAGGGUAUGAAUUUUGAUGCAAUGAAGAAGAGAACAAUGCUAGUCGCAGAGAAUGAGAAAGGCUCUAAUAUAAUGCACGCGUUUUUCCAACAUGUCGCUAAAUUGUAAAAAAUUGUGUGGUAAAGUGGAACAUGUGAACAUGACAUUUAUCUUGUAAGGGUUUUUUUUUAAAAAUAAUUAUCUAAGUGGAACGCAUGCAUUACUUUAUUUAACUUGUCAGCUUUACAGCACAUGCAUUUACCCUGUGCGACUUACUUAUUCAAAUAAUUUUUCUUUUCAAAAAGCGGAAAAAUUUUAUAAAUAUAAGAAAAAGAAAUACAUGGCUAUCAAUACCGGUAGAAGAAACUGUUGAAAAGUAAUUUUUAAUUUGGAAAUCAAGUUUUUGGAAGAACUGGCGGGAAGCAUAAGCUUUGAAGGUUGAUGAAAGAUUUUUAGAGCAAAAACGUUGUCGCUCUUGACUGAAGAUGCUGGUUACCGUUAAGCUGUGCAUUAGUUAUUGUGCAGCUUCUACCUGGAUUCGAUUUACUCUCCAUCAUCUAAAUUUUAGGUAACAUUGUUAUUGAGAAAAUAUAAAUAUGAAAUUGAAAAAUGAAUGGGUGCUUGAUGGCCAUUCAUUUUUCUCUGCUCAAGUUGUCACUUCCCCUUCUUUUCUGUUUUCCCAUUCUUUUAACUCUUCAUUAAUUUUUCGACAAAACCUUAGCUUCAUUUUUCUUCAAAUGGUAUCAAAGCUCUAAAGUGAUCUUAAGGGACUGCACUCUAAAAUUCACCAUGACUUCUGGCUUCAACUCAUUUGCUCCUCCAAGGUUCAUCAGAGAGAAUUCUUCCUUCUGUUGUGUGAAGAUGGAGUCGUAUCUCAAGGCUUUCAUUCUUUGAGAAGCUUUGGAAUCUGAUGAAGAACCUGUUCAAAGGAGAGGUAAUCCAACCCUUGCUUAGAUUAGGCAAUUUGAGGAAGACAAAUCAAAGAGGUAUAAAGCUUUGUCCUGCCUACACUCAGCUUUAUCUAAUGAAAUAUUUGCUAGGGUUAUGCAUUUGAGAACUCCUAAAUAGGUUUGGGAUAAUUUGAUGGAUGAAUUUUUUGGAAGUGAAAGAAUUAGGUAGAUUCAAGCACUUAAUCUUACUCAGAAAUUUGAAAUACUUAGAAUGGAGGACAAUGAAAAUAUUAAAGAUAUUUCUAGACAAAUGAUGGGACGGCAUUAGUGAACCAAUUAAGGUUAAUAGGAAGUGAAAUUACAAAGGAAAGAUUAGUAACCAAAAUGCUAGUUAGUUUACGUGAAAAAAUAUGAAUCUAAGGUGUCCUUAUUAGAAGAUUCUAGGGAUCUUGCUUAUCUUACUCUUAAGGAGUUAGUUAAUGCUUUAGAAGGUCUUGAACAAAGGAGAACGUUUAGGCAGGCAAGUGCAAUUGAUUUUGCCUUAGUGGCUAAGACUAAAAAUGUGAAGGUGAAUGGAAGUAGUACAAAAGGUAGUUCAGCUGAUAAGAAAAACAAAGGGAAGAAGAGUUGAGAUAAUAAGCAGGGAGAUCAAAUAAAGGAAUUUCCACCAUGCCAAUACUGUAAAAAAACCAAUCACACAAAGAAAUUUUAAAUGUAAGGCUUGUAGUCAAUAAGGGCAUGUAGAAAAAGUAUGUAAGAAUUGUUCUAAGGUGAAUGAGAAAGCUGUUGUAGUUGAACAUGUGGAUGAAGAUACUGAUGAGGUUUUGUUUAUUGCAACCAUUGGGAAAAAUUCAAGUAAAACUAAUAUUUGGCUAUUGGAUAGUGCUUGCUUACAUCAUUUGAUAGGUAACCAAUCUCUAUUGACUAUUCUUGACACAAGUUUUAAGUCAAAAGUGAAGAUUAGAGAUGAUGAUUACUUAGAUAUACUUAGAGGAGGUACUAUUAAUGUUAAAACUGCUUCAGGUAGUAAAUGUAUUAGUAGUGUGCAUUAUGUUCUUUAUGCUAAUCACAAUUUCUUGAGUGUGGGAUAACUUGCUAAAGAGCAUUAUAAUUUACUAUUCAGAGAUGAUGGUUGCACUAUGCUUGAACCUUAUGACAAUGAAAUUUUCACUGUUACUAUGAAGAACAAUUGUUAUCCACUUAACUUGGCUAAUACAGCUCCUUUGGCUUUGUAUAAUAAGUUGGAUAUGUUCCAUAUAUGGCAUAGGAGACUUGGUCAUGUAAAUUACAAUUCCUUGGCUCUUUUUUCUUCAAGGAAUCUAGUGGAAGGCUUAGUUAGAAUCUCAAAACCAGAUAAGCUUUGUCAAGCUUGUUAAUUUGGAAAGCAAUCAAGGAAACCUUUUCCUCAAGAAAGCAGAUGGAAGGAUACUAGAAAACUUGAAUUGGUGCAUACAAACAUAAGUGGACCAAUGAAAACCCUUUCACUCAGUGGUAGUAAGUUUUACAUAAUUUUUACUGAUAAUUUCACAAAGUAUUGCUGGAUUUACUUUUUAAAGUAGAAGUCUGAGGCAUUGAGCUACUUCAAGAAGUUUAAGAUAGCAGUUGAGAAUUUCUCAAGCUAGAAAAUUAAGACUUUGAGAACUGACAAUGGAAAGGAAUAUACAUCUACUGAAUUUGAGCAUUAUCUAGAAUCUCUGAGAGUUCAACAUCAACUAACCAUUCCAUAUAGUCUCUAGAAGAAUGGUAAAGUUGAGAGAAUGAAUAGAACUCUUCCUGAAAUGGGAAGAUGUCUGUUGUUUCAAAUGAAUGUUCCAAAGGCAUUUUGGGCAGAAACUAUGAAUACAACUAACUACAUUUUGAACAGAGUUCAUACUAGAGUUUUGAAAAACAAAACCCCAUAUGAAAUGUGGUUUGAUCAUAAACCAAGUGUUUUUCACUUAAAGACUUUUGAAUGUGUAUGUUAUGCUAAGGUUCUAGAUGCUAAAAGAACCAAGUUUAAUCCCAAAGUCUGUAAUAACAAUGCUAGUGGGAUACAGUGAAGUAUCAAAGGGCUACAAACUAUAUGAUACUGAAUUGAAGAAAACAUUUGUGAGUAGGGAUGUGGUGUUUGAUGAGGGUCAGAGUUGGAAUUGGCCAAAUGCAAAUGUAGAAAAGGUUAACUUUGUUACUUUGCUGAUGAUAUGUUUCUGUAAAAUGAUUCAGAUGAUCAAUUUGACUUAGAGGAUGAAAGAAAAGCUGCAAAAGGCACCAAGAGUUUAGAUGACAUUUAUAGCAGGUGUGAUGUAGCCUUAGCUGAACUAGCAAGCUUUAAAGAAGCACAUUCAGAAGAACACUAGAAGUUAGCCAUAGAUGCUAAAAUGCAGAUGACUAUUAAGAAUGUGACAUAGAUUUUAGUGGACAGACCUGUUGACAAGAACAUUAUUAGAGUUCAAUGAAUUUACAAAACCCAAUUGAAUCCUGAUGCUUUUGUAAAUAAAUACAAGGCUCCACUUGUGGUCAAAGGAUAUGUUCAAGUGUAUGUGGUUGACUAUAUAGAGACCUUUGCUCUAAUUGCUAGACAUGACACAAAUAAGAAUGCUCACUGCUUUGUCAUCAAGGGAGGGAUGGAGGAUUUAUCAUUUUGAUGUCAAAUAAGCUUUUCUUAAUGGCAUUUUUAUUUAAGAUAUUUACAUUAAGCAGCUUGACGGUUAUGUGCAACAAAGGUUUGAGAAGAAGGUGUGCAAACUUAUUAAGGCAUUUUAUGGCUUAAAGCAAGCCCCAAGAGCCUGGUACACUAGAAUUGAUGAUCGUUUCAAGAAUCAAAGGUUCCAGAGGAGCAUAAAUGAGUCAAACAUUGUAUGUGAAGAGUGAAAAUGGUAUUGUGUUGCUCAUUGUAGCACUUUAUGUAAAUGAUCUCUUAAUUACUGGGCUUAAAGGUAAAUACUUGACUGAAUUUAAAGUUUAGACGAAGAAAGUGUUUGAAAUGACAUAUUUGGGUGAGAUGACUUACUUUUUGGGUAUGGAGGUUAUGCAAGCUGUUAGUAAGGUUGUAUUGCAUCAGGGAAAAUAUGCAAACGAUUUACUUAGUAGGUCUAAUAUGAGUAUAUGAAAGGUUGUAAGCUCUCUAUUGUGCACUGGUGCAAAGUUUAGCAGAAAAGAUGGUACUGCUAAAGCAAAUGGGCAAUUAUAUAGAAGCAUAAUUGGUUUUUUGCUAUACUUAACAACUACAAGGCCUGAUAUAAUGUUUUCAACAUGCUUGCUGUCAAGAUUCAUGUAAGAUCCUUCAGAGACUCACUUUACAACAGUUAAGAGGAUCUUGAGGUAUGUGAAAAGAACUUUGGAUUAUGGAUUAAUAUACAUGAAACAGAAGAGCAAUCAAUUAGAAGGUUUCUUAAACAAUGAUAGGGUUGGAUCAUUGGAUCAUUUUAAAAGCACAUAUUUCAUUUGGCAGUGCAGUGUUUGCCUGGAACUUAAAGAAACAGCAAGUGGUAGCUCAGUCAAUAGUUGAAGCAGAGUACAUUGCUUGUGUAGUUGUUGCUUACUAUGCUUUAAGGUUGAGAAAGGUAUUGGUUGAGUUGGGAUUUAAGCAAGAAUAGGGAACCUUAAUUAAUGUUGAAAACUUGUUAGCAAUUGCAUUUGCAAAGAACCCUGUUCAACAUGGAAGAGUAAAGCAUAUCAGAUUCAAGUACCAUGCUCUGAGAGAUGCAGUAAAGGAAGUGAGUUUGAAUUACUUCAUUGGUCAACUAAUGAUUAGCUUGCUAAUAUUUUCACUCAGAGCUUGGGAAAGGAGAGAUUUGAGUAUUUGAGAUCAUGUCUUGGAGUUCACUAGAUUGAGAAUUAUAGGGUUGUGUUGAAAAGUAUUUCUUAAUAUGGAAAUCAAGCUUCUGGAAGAACUGGCAGGAAGCAUCAGCUUUGAAGAUUGAAGAAAGACUCCUAGAGCAAAAAUGUUGUCGUUCUUGACUGAAGAUGUUGGUUGCCUAACACGCUAGUUCAUUGUGUUGUUUUCUUUUUUACAGUUUGAUGUAUUCAAAACGAUCUUGGUCAUGUCGAUUUAUUUUGUUUCAUGUUUGUUGGUCCUGUAUGCAUCACUGUGGUCAGGGCCAGCCCUUGGGUGAAGCCACCCAAGCAAGGGCCUUAGGCCCCCAAUUUGGGGAGGUCCCAAUUUUAAAGAAGAUUUAUAAUUUUAUAAUAAUUAUAAUAUAAAUAAUUAUAUUAAAAAAUAUAAAAAUAAAAAAUAAUUCAUCAAAAUUAUUUAUUCUUUUACUUUUUUUAAUUAUGUACCUAAUAAAUCUCAAAUUUCUAUUACUUCUUUAUUUCUAAAAUACUAUUAAUUCUCAACUAUAUUCUCUUAUUUCUAAUAAACUAACAGUUACAUGUAUUUAAUCAUUUUCAACAGCUAUUUUUUUUCUCACUUAUUUCUCUUAUUUUCAAUAAGCACAUUUAAUGAUUUCCAACAACUAUUUUUUUUCCUAUAUAUAAAACUAAUUAUUUUUUUCAAUGUAUAAUAUCUACUUUUGAAAUCUUCCUUUCCCAUUUGCUCUUUCUUCCUUUAACUUCAAUUUUUCUCCAAAGAAUUUUGUUCUUUUAUUAUCUUCAUAAAGUUGUGAGCCUCAUUUGCGAUUUGCAAUAAACAUUCAACAAUUAGGUACUAUUGUUCUAAUCUUUAUAGAUUUUUUUACUUUAAUUUAAAUUUAUAUUAUAUUGUUAUAUUAUUUUUAUUUUAUGUGAUAGUUGAUUUAUUUGAAUUAAAAAUUUUGAUUGUUGAUUUUAUAUUAGCCAUUUAAAAAAUAUAAGAUAAUUAUAAUAGUUAAAUAUUUUUAGAAUAAUGUUAACAAUUCCAGUAAGUGUUGCUUUAAGAAAAAGAAGUUUUUCAGAACUAAAAUUAAUAAAAUCUUAUUUAAGAUCAACAAUAUCUUAAGAAAUAUUAAAUGGAUUGACUAUAUUAUCAAUUGAAAAAGAAAUAUUAGAAGAACUUGAUUAUAAAAGUUUAAUUAAAAAUUUUACAUCUCAAAAAGUUAGAAGAAUAAAAUUUUAAUAAUUUUGUUAAAUUUCAAUAAAAAAAAGCCUCAUUUGAAUAUUUCAUUUUAGACUUUUGAACUUAUUAAGUCGUCCUUGACAGUGGUGCUAUUUUAGUCUGUUUUCUUAUUUCUGGUGUAAGGCUCAACGACCAUGUCUUUUCUUAUUUCUGGUGUCACUUCUCCUUUUUCUCUGUUUUCCCAUUCUUUUAGCUCUCCAUUAAUUUUUCCAAAACAUCUUAACUUCAUUUUUCUUCAGAAACAAACAACCCCCAAGGAUCAUGUUAAUCCAAAAUAAAAACCAUCAAAGGUUGCGAGCAAGAGAAACAAAGACCUCAAGACAACCCCUUACAGAACACCCAAAACACAAAAGAACUCUACAACAAAAAUCAAGACAACCCAAAACUCGAAUUACAAACAAGCAGAUCAGCAAAGAAGAGUUCAGGAAACAGGAAAAAAGCAGCAGAAAGAAAAAGAGGCAGAGAACUCCAACGCUAUCAAAACCACACAGCAGCAGAAAAAAUCAAGCAGCAUGUUAAAUUACUUAUUCAAGUAAUUUAAUAAGUGAUACAUGUUUGUUACUACAUAUAAAAACAUUGACAUGUUGGGUGCAUAUACAUAUAACUUUUACUUGUUACUUUUAUAUACACGUGAUGCUGACGUGAUAUUAACAUAUUAAAUAAAAAUGUCAUAUGAUUAAAUUAUAAUAUCAUUAUAUUAUGUUAUUAUCUAAUAUGAUAUAUUAUUGUGUUACGUUAGUAGUGUAUAAAUUUUGAUGCAAUCAAUAAGAGAGGAAUGCUAGGUGCAUAGAAUGAGAAAUGCUCUAAUUAAUCAACGUGUUAAUAGCAUGUUGCUAAAUUGUAAAAGAUCGUGAGAUAAAGUGAAUCACGUGAACAUGACAGCUAACUUGCUAGGGUUUUUAUAAAAAAGUUAUCCAAGUGAAACAUGUGCAUUACUUUAUUUAACUUGUCAGGUUUACAGCGCAGCGCAUUCACAUUGUCCAGCUUACUUUGUUAAAUUAAUUUAAUAAUGAAACAUGUUUUUUAAUACAUAUAAAAACAUUGCCAUGUUGGGUGAAUAUUCUCACGAGAAUACAUGCACUUGCUAAAAGACAAUGCACACUUAUAUGAAAGUCAAUGCACUCCCACGGUUCACCAACAUUGACUCACUGUCUCUGUUUCAUUAUUGAUACCAGCGCAUAUUCACAUUGUUGCCACUUACUUUAUGACUAUGUCAAAACAAAUAUUUUUAUCUUUAACACAUAAAGAUUUGAUUUUAAUAUUUCAUACUAUAAAUUAUUUAACAUUCCAUUUACAUAUGGUUUGAUUCCACUUUUAAAUUUAUUCAAUAAUUAUAUGUCUAAUUAGAAAACACAAGUAAUUAAAAUAAAUAUAUUGAAAAUCUAACAUAACUCAAACGUUUGUUAUAUUUUGAGUCACGUAAAAUAAAAUAUAAAUAUUUUAACUAACAUAUAGUUUUCAUGUGAACAUAUAUUUUUGUUCUCACUAACGUUAGUUUGAUAAGUUUGCUUAAUAAAAUUAUAAAAUCAUUUUGAUAUAAUAUUUGAAAAAGUCUCUAAACUAUUUUAAAAAAAUUGAAAUAAACUCUUAUUUUUUUAUUAUAUUUAAUUAAGUUUUUAUAUUUUUAUUUUAAAUUAAAUAGACUUUGAUUACUAACGAUUGAUUAAUUAUUAUGAACCAAACUACCACUUGUUAUUUUUAUGUCCACAUGAUGUGGAUAUAGAGAGUGAAAAUGUCACAUCUACUUGCCACAUCAUCAUUCCUUAUUACAUGUUAGUAUGUCAUGUUAAUGUUACAUAGUAUAGAAGAAUAAGAGACAAUUUAACUAAUAAUAAUUACUCAAUUAUUAAUUAUAAAAGUUUGAUUAAACAUAAUUAAAGAAUAAAAAUUUAUUUAAAUUUUUAAAAAUUAUUUUUUUGUUAUCGUAAAUUGUUUCAAGUAUGACCAAAUAAAUUACUUUUGAAUUACAGAUAUUUUAAUAAUUUUAUUAAAAAAAUUAAUAAUGUAACUCUUAGGAAGAAUAGAAAGACCAAAGUUGGGAAAAGCAAAAGGAGAAAAGUUACAUAGGACCCCGUCCCCAAGCCUCCCAAGGUCUCCAAAGCGGUGAAUGCCUGGGGAGCAGUUUAGGGUGUAACUUGUAAGUAUGCUCUCUACCAGUCUCUGCAAGCACUGUAACGCCACCAUCAGUUUCCUUUUAAAAAGAAUUGAAGAUUUAGGAAUAAGAAUUGAAGAUGAAAGGCAAUCCAUGAUAGCAAGAAAACUUUCAAUUGUUGGACUAUGGUGCAUUCAAUGGUUUCCAGUAGAUCGUCCUUCAAUGAAAGUUGUGAUUCAAAUGUUGGAAGGUGAGGCAGACAGUCUCACUCUGCCGCCGAAUCCUUUUGCUUCCACAGAUUAUAUGAAGCUGGGUGGUUCCAAGUAUAAAAACCCUGUUGGUACAGAGCUAGCAAUUAUUGCCGAGUAGACAUAAUUCAGCUUGCAGCACUAAGUCUAGAAAAGAGUUAACUAUAUCUGGCUAAUGAAGCAAACUAGACGGACGCACAUGCAUUCUAUAAUCACAAUUGUGAGUUCAUUCACUUAAAUAAAUUUGCUGUGUUUGUACUAAACAUUGCUAAGGGCAAAUAAACACUUUCUAUGUCUUUCUUCUUUAAAACUUCCUCGUUCAAACAUUUUCUUCACUAUCUGACUUGAUUAUUAUCAACUUAAGUAAAUAAUUAUAAACUUAAUUUGACCUCAAAUGAAAAUUGUAAAUACAUAAAUAGUUUUAUAUUUUAUUUGUAGACAAUUAUAUAUGUACAUUAUAUUUAACUUAAUCUUUAAAAUUUUUUAGAAUUGAUUAAGUUUUUUAGUUGCUGAGUCAAGUACUGAAGUAGCCGAAUUUGGCUUAACUCAUUAAUCAAACUGCUUAGACUCAAACUCAGCACUAUUGAAUGAGAUGCAAAUAUUCAUAAAGCCAAGUCUAAUAUUUAAUACACAUACAUCUAUUUGGUCUAUGUUUUCGUCCCUUGUAUCCAUAUAAUUUCCACAAACAUGCCUUCAUUGCUUGAAUGGCCAGUUUAGAUAACUUCUGCUUUGCACAGAUUAUCUAGUUGGGGCCUUCCCAUAACCAGUAGCUCUCCAUGGCUCAGUUUAUAUUGCUUGUAUCCAUAUACUUCAAUCUAUGAGAUCAAUUAUUUAUUUUUCAAGGAGGCUUAACAUGUACUAAUAUUUGAGCAUUAUCAAUACCCUAUCUUGACAAUACAAUGACAAAAAAUAAUUUUAGGAACAUGGUUUUAAUGUAUAAUGAUCUCAUAAUUAUAAUAAAUGUAUAAUUCUCUUAGAAGACCUUUAUGUUCCAUGAAAUUCAUCCAAUUAGUAUUUAAAAACUUUUUGUUGUUGUACUAACAUGAAGGAAAACCUCUACCGUAUAUAAUUAUAUGAUUAAGUAUGCAUUAAAUGACAAUAUAUAUAUUUCUUGACCAAUCCAAUUAGUUCAAAAAUAUAUACAAACACCUAACUCUCAUCGGUCGACCACCUGCAGCCAGAUCUAGUUAGAUCACGGUCCCCUAAUGAGCAUGAGUCUCGCGCUCCCCUCCGCAGCGCUCCCCCAGAUCUAGCCACGAGGUGGCUGAUCGAUUUAAGGGAGUGCCACCGACCGACCUAAGAAAAAAGAAAAUAGUGAAAAAGAGUGAAGAAAGAAUAAGGGUAGUUUAGACAUUUUAUGUUUUUUUGUUAACACCGUUUAUAUAUUUGGGACGGAUUAUUUAUUUCGAAUAUUAAUAGACCUGCAUAGAAUUAUAGUUAAAACUUAAAGAGAUCAUGGGAUUUUAUCCUAUUUUUUUCAAUUCGUAUUCAAUAGAUAAUUAACUUCUAGUCUCAUAAGAUUUAGAUUAUUAAUUUUGUUUAAUAAAAUUAUUAAAAUAUCUUAGAUUCAAAAAUAAUAUAUUUGUUCAAAAUAUUUUUUUCAAUUAGUAUUCAGUUGAUAAUACCUUCUAAUGUGUGGAACAUUUGUUGAUAGCACAAAAAUAACACAACUUUUGUUACACUGUAAAAAUUUCCGUGAAGUUUUGGAAAUACAAUGUUAUAUAGCCAUGGAGAGUCCAUGGCGAUCAAGCACCAAGAGAAGAAUAAAAUGGAAAUGCCAAUUUUGGUUGAGCAAGUGACUUUUUUUUAGAAAAAAAUUAUAAAAGUUUAUUUCAUUUAAAAUAAAAAUACAAAAAUGUGAUUGAACUUAAUAGAAAAAUAAAAUUUUAUUUUAAUUUAUUUUAAUAAUUUUUUUAAAAAAUUAAGUAUUAUAUCUAUUUUUUAAUAUAAUAUAUAAUUAUUAGAUAAAUUCAGAAACAAACUUCAUCCUUUAGAUUAUCAAUAAAUUCAUAAAUGAAUAUUGAAAUCAAAUCGUCAUGUCAAUUAAGAUAAAAAUGUUGAGACAUUAGUAAUUUUUUAUAAUAUAAAAAAAUUAAUUUUUCACUUAUUAAUAAAGUAAGUCGCACAAUGAGUCAAUGAGUCAAGCAUUUGAGUGCUUGACUGUUAUUGCCGGUUGUUUUGGUGCAAUUCAUAUCUGGACUUUACCUUUUUAAAAGAGAAAAAGAAAUAAAGGUUUUUCUUUGCAAACCUUUUAAAAGAGAAAAAGGAAAAAGGGGUGAUGGUCAUAGUUUCAGCCUUUGAGAGCUUGUUGGGCUGCUGAGAAUUUUUUAAAGAACAACUUCGAUCGUAUGGAGAGAGAUAGAGGAUCCACUUUUGGAGACCUUGGGGACUUGGGGAGGGGUCCUCAUUGAUUCUUUUCGUUUUGCUUUUCCUAAGCUUGGUGCCUUUCUAUUUUGAUAAGAGUUAGACUAUUAAUUUUGGGAUUAUAUUUGAUGCACAGUGUAUAGUUUCUAUAUCAUAAUUGUCAUCUCAUUAAUGAAGUAAAUUUAAUAAUUGAUAUAUAAAAUUUUACUAUUUAAUGAAUAAAAAAUAAAAUCUUUUUAUUUUUUUCUCAAUUUUUUUUAUUUUCUUUCAAAUGUGCCAAAGGGAUACGUAAUACAUUUUAGUGACCUGAUAGUGUAUAAUUUCUUAAUUUUGCAUAAUAAAAAUAUUAAAAUAUUAUCAAUUCAAAAGUAGUUAAGUUAUCUAUAUUUAAAAUGUUUAGCAUUAUACUUAAAAAGUCCUUAAACUAUUGAGAAAAAUUCAAAUAAAUCCUUAUUUCUUUAUUGUAGUCAAUUAAAUCUUUAUUUUUUUUAACCAAAUAAACCCUUAUAACUAAUAAUUGAUUAAUUAUUAUUAGUAAAAAUGCCACUAGUUAUAUUAUACAAUGUGGCGUUGAUAUGGAAUGUUGAUAUGUCAUAACGGAUUAUGACGUGACAUAAUUAUGUGACAUUUUCACUCUCCACGUCAUACUAAUCACACAUGUAUUAUUUUUGUAUUAUAUUUGGUACAUAUAUUAGAAAGUGUUAUUAAAAUUAUAAAAAAUACAGGUGAAGUUUUUUUUUUAUUUGCAUAGAUGAUUUGUUAAAGCAGUCAUUUAUUCAAUAAAGGUACAUUGAUUUAUUAUUAAAUUAAAGACAUAAUGUUCAAAAAAGCCCUUAAAUUAUUUAAGAAAAUUUAAAUAAGUUAUUCUUUUAUUACGUUCAACCAAACCUCUAUACUUUUAUUUUGAGUAAAAUAAACUCUUAUAACUAAUGAUUGACUAAUUAUUAUUAAUCAAAAUGACACUUGUCAUUUAACGCUCAACAUGGCACUAACGUGAUGCUGAUGUAAAGGAUGAAAAAUGCCUCAUGACCAUGUCAUUAUGUCACAUUAAUAUGUUUCGUUAUUAUCAAUUAUGACAUGUCAUUAUACUAUAUCAGUAUCAUAUGUUAUAGAAGGACAAGUAGUAUUUUGACUUAUAGUGCAAAAUUGGGAGUUAGAUUGAGUGCAACAGAAAAAAUAAGAUUUAUUUAGUUCAAAAUAAAAAUAUAAGAAUUUGUUUAAUUAGUUCAAAAUAAAGGUAUAAAGAUUUGAUUGAACGUAAUAAAAAUAUAAUUUAUUUAAAUUUUUUUAAUAAUUUAGGAGUUUUUUAAGUUUUAUAUCUAAAUUAAAUGUUGGUAUAUGAUUAGAAAAAAACCAUAAGAGUUUAUUUAAUUUAAAAUAAAAAUAUAAAAAUUUGAUUGAACAUAAUAGAAAAAUAAAAAUUUAUUUAAAAUUUUUUAAUAUUAUACUUAUUUUUUAAUAUAAUAUGUAAUUCUUAGAUAAAUUUAAAAACAAACUUCAUCCUUAGACUAUCAAUAAAUUCAUAAAUGAAAUAUUGAAACCAAACCCUCACAUCAAUUGAGAUAAAAAUGUUGAGACAUUAUUUAUAAUUAUUAAAGAACAUUAAUUUUUCACAUAUUAAUAAAGUAAGUCGCACAAUUGGAAGGUGACUAGUGAGCUGUUUUGGUGCAAUUCUUAUCUUGACUUUAUCUUUUUAAAAGAGAAGAAGAAAAACAGGUUUCUCUUUGUAAACGCAAGUACCCAACAACUUCUCUAUGACUUUUUUUUGUUUUGCUUUUCCUGAGCUUGGUGCCUUUCUAUUUUGGUAAGAGUUAGACUAUUAAUUUUGGGAUUAUAUUUGAUGCACAAUGUAUAGUUUUUAUAUAAAAAUGUGUUAUUUCAUUAAUAAAGUAAAAUUAAUCAUUUUUAAAAUUUAACAAUAAAUAUAUAAAAUCUUGCUAUUUAAUGAAUUAAAAACAAAAUCUUUUUUUCUCAAAAAAAUCUUUUUUAUUUCUUUCAAAUGUGCUAAUGGGACACGUAAUACAUUUUAGUGACUUGAUAGUGUAUAAUUUCUUAAUUUUACAUAAUAAAAUUAUUAAAAUAUUAUUAAUUCAAAAGUAGUUAAGUUAUCUAUAUUUAAAAUGUUUGUCAUAAUACCUAAAAAAAUAUUUGAACUAUUGAGAAACAUUCAAAUAAAUUCUUUUAUUGUAUUUAAUUAAAUUUAUAUAUUUUUAUUUUGAAUCAAAUAAAUUUUUAUAACUAAUAGUUAACUAACUAUUAUUAAUCAAAAUGUCACUACGUAACGUUGUAAAAUGUUAAAAAGAAAAGAGGAUGUGGGCCACUGAAAGCUCGAAUGCUGAAAAAUGCUUGUUAGACUGAUUUUUGUUAGCAUUCCUCAUUUCGAUUCAUUUCCUUUCCCACCUCAGAAGAGGAUCAUUAUCUACUACUAGCACUAGCAUUGUAAGUUAUUCUUUACUUUUUGUUUUAAUUAUUUGUAUUCUUUGACCUGCAUCAAUGCAUUAUAAAUAAAUUCAUAAAUGAAACAUUGAAAUCAAACCGUCACAUCAAUUGAGAUAAAAAUAUUGAGACAUUAGUAUUUUUAAAAUUUUUUAUAUGUAUUAAAAUUUUUUUUCACAUAUUAAUUACUUUAAUAAAGUGGCACAGUGAGUCAACCACUAGACAUUGCCGGCUGUUUUGGGUGCAAUUCAUCUUUACUUUAUCUAUCUCGGAUAAUUUUUUAUCAGAGCAAAAGAAAUACAAAAUGCAAGUACCCCACACCACACAAAAGCACAGAGAAGCAAAAAUAAAGUACUCAAUGAGAUAAAAAGAAAAAAUUGUGAGAAAUAACCUAUUUCAUAAGCCUAAUUAAAAAAUAUCACUUUUUAUAAUUUUAACUAUUUUUAGUCUAUUUUUGACAUGACUUGACAAUAAUGCCUUUUAAACAAUUUUAAAAAAUUAAAAUGGUUUUAGUUUUCUCUAUCCCACCAUCUAGAAAAAAAUUUCAAAAUAAAAUCUCAAUUUUUUUCUCUGAUCAAAUACUAUCUAUCUUGCUAUCAAAAGCACAAAGAUGACAUCAAGCUCUUUCUUAUUUUGUUUUAUUUUUUUGGAUAGUGGAUCUUGGGGUUCUCAAGGGCGAUGAAUAGCGAAUUUUGCUCUUUGCAUGCAGCGAUUUUACUCAGGGAGAAGGAACAGCUAAAGCAUGUUUGAUGGGUUUUAUGGUGGUUCACGGUUUUAUUAUGUUUGGGAUUGAGAUGAUUGUUAAGAAUGUUUGCUGGGGAUUUUGAUUUUUUUUUAUGAGAUUUUGAGUUGAAAUUAUUUAGGGAAUAUUUUGUAAAUAGAAUAUAUUUUGUUUUUGUAUAAGGGACUGAGCAAGGCCCUCCCGAUAGGAAUAUAUUUUGUCUUGCUUUGAAGGGUUAUAGAGUUUUGUAAUCUAUCUUUUAUGAAAUGCACAAUUUCAUGGCUUAGCAAAAAAAGAAGUAUGUGUUUUAGGUUCUUGAGUUUAUUAGUUUAUUCAUAGAACCCUAAAGUUAAGGAGUUGAAAUUGAUUAGACUGAUUUUUAAGUAUUACGAGAUUAAUUUUUAGGUAUUGCGUGACUUAAUCACUGUAUGAUUAGUUUUUAGGCAUUACGUGAUUGGUUUUAGGCAUUGCGUGACUGGUUUUUAGAUAUUGCGUGACUGAUUUUUAAACAAUGCUUAAGUCACACAAUGCCUUACUAACAAGUCACGCAAUACCUUACUAAUAAGUCACGCAAUGCUUAUCAACUAGUCAUGCAAUGUCAUAUCAACUAGUCACACAAUAUUUAAAAACUAGUCACGCAAUGCCGAAAGUCAAUCAUGCAAUAUCCAAAGUCAGUCAUGCAAUGCCUAAAAACUAGUCACGCAAUACCCAAAAAUCACAAAAACUAUUGAAUUCCAUUUAACAAGAUCAACAACUUUAGACGAUACACUAUAUUCCAUUUAACAACAUAAUUAACGAAUAUACCUACUUGACAAAGAAUGUUCAAAAUGUUCAAAAGUUUUUUUUCAUAUAUCAAAAAUCACUCAAAAAUACUUAAAAAUACUCAAAACGCUCAAAUAUUUUCUUCGUGUAUCAAAAAUUACUCCAAAAUGCUUAAAAUACUUAAACGUUUGCUUUUUGAUAAAGAAUACUCCAAAGAUGAAUAGUCUGACGAGGAAAGCUCAAAGAAUAUGAGUUGGUUUGAGGCACAGACCUAAACAUACUUGACCCGUUAAUAAGUUUUGGGUUAAGGCACAGAACCAAAUAAAUGGGUCAGUCUCAUUAAGGGCAAUUUUGUCUAAAUUUUAAUUCUCUUGACUAAAAAUAUUUAAAGUUAUAAAGAGGUCUUUUUUCAAAAACGCCUUAUGCAUGAGGUCUUUCAGCUUCAGUCUUCGAGUAUCACCGGUCUCUCUAUUUUCGAUAUUCACCAUAUGUUUCUCAUGGGUUAUGACGUGCCGGAUUAUUGCGCACCUCGUAGUAGCCUAGGCACGGUCACGGUCAAUGUCACAUCGCCCCUCUACAAAAUUAUACUUGGAAAGAUGUAAGAUUAAUUUGGAGCAUCAACACUCUUCCCCUCCCCCCUUCUUCCCCCUUUGUUUUGAGGUCAUUCGUUUGAGUUAAUAGUACAAAAACAAUAUAUACUAGUAUUUGAUCAUUUAAAUUAAAAACAUCAAAUUAUCUAUUUAAUGGUAGUAUACCUUAAUUUUAUAAAUAGCAUCAAAUUCUCUUUUCCCUACAUAGAAAUAAAUGGUUAAAUGCUCAUUUUAUAUCUAAUAUUUACCAAAUCUUUUAUUUCACAAUUCAACUUAUUUUUUUAAAUUCAAAAUCCAAUUUUUUAAAGCAAUUUUAUCCAUUUAAAAAAAUACUGAAAAGAGUUUGUGAUUACCGCCCCAUAUAUAGACUUAGAAUUAAGCAAAAAUUUGGAAAUAAUGGAAAAUUGAUUCCAACCUUAGAGUUGGUUUCCGUUUUCUAUUACAUCCAAUUUGGUUGCUAAAAAUAUGUAUUCCAUUUGGUUUGAUUUCUAUCUAUUGAUUGAAAAAAAUUGAAAUUAUCCAAAUAAAAAAGAACAGUGUUUUUUAUUAUAUUUUAUAUUACUUUUUAGUUUUCAUAAAAUAAAAAUAUUUAUUUUAUUUUUAAAUUUACUUAAUAAUAUAUAUAUAUAACAUUUAAAAAAAAAUCAAAGAACUGAACGGUUGAAUCCAAAUCGAUGAAAUUUGAUUUGAGUCAAUUUGAUCUUAAAAAUACAUUUUAUUUGGUUAGAUUCAGUUUUUUAGAAAUCAAAAUAGUACAAGUUAAUCAACAAAUUUUCAAAUUGAACUUUGCCAAACUAUAUGCGGCUCUAUAUAGAACUAACUAUACAAAUCUAUAUUUCUAUAUUUGUUUAAGGUUAUUCUCAUAAGAAAAACAAUUAAUUUCAUUUAUAGUGUUUAUCAUUUUUUUUAUGGAUAAAAUAGAUUACUUUAAAAAAGUAAAUAAAAAAAUUUGAUAUUAAACUGAAAUAUUUGGUAAAUAUUAGAUCCUUAAAAUGAGAAUAUUUUUUUUUCUAAAAUAUUUGUAAUGUUUGAAGUGAAUAUUUUCAAUGUAUUUCUCACCUAAUUUUUCAUCCCUGACACAGAUUAAGCUGGUUGAGGUUUAUCCUUUCGGAGUAUCUUCACACUUUGCGAAUGUUUUUUACCCACGGCUCUCUAUCACGAGAUCGCUAUGAUUAUUAUUAUUAUUACUAUGGAAGUAUGUUUUUUCAUUUCAUCUCUAAUUUGCUUAUGGCUUUUGCUUAUUCCUUAUUCCUUGCUUUAAACUAAUCUUUACCCCUUUUUAUCAGGAAUCCCAUUUGCUUUAUUCAUAAUCACAGGUGAGAACGCUUUUACCCGUGACUUAAUUAAGCUUUAAUGAUUAUGUGCACGACGACCCAAGUUGCAAAAUACUAAUAUCCCUCACACCUCUCAUGGAUAUGUAGAGGUAAAUAAAAAUAAUUUUCAUUAGGUAAAAUAAGUAUAUAUUAUUUAAAAAAAUUAUGAUAAUAAUCAAAGAGAUCAUGAAUCAUGACAUGUUCUUUCUCUUUUCUUUUCUUUGUUUUUUUUUCUUUCCAUUGCACAAUUAUGUGUCAUAAUAAAAAGUUUGAGUUAAUUAAACAACCAAUUUAAAUUGAAUGGUGAAGUUUCCAAUAUUUAGCUACUUUGAGUUAUCACAUCUGGUAAAUCUCAUUCCACUUGUUUUAAAAUUGGAAUCAAGACUCCCAAUAUGAGGUGUUAAGUUUGAAUCUUUAAGUUAUCCCAUCGGAGACAACUAAUUAACUAAUAACGUUAUAUAUUUCUAAUUAGUAAAAACAGAUAGUCAAUAUGUCUUGUACAUCAUCAAAGCUUUUUCCAUCCUAUUUAGCUAUGUAAAAAUAUUGUGUUCUCAUUGUUGGAAAAUAAAUAUUCUACUAUUUGUGAUAAUCAAGAAGAUAAAAAUCAUACCCCAGUUAUAUUGAUUAAAUCAAUUCUAAUAAAGCAGUGCUACUUCCGUUCCUUGUCUUGUGUAUUUAUGCUGAUGUCUUCUUAUUAAUAAUUCUCUUGUAUAGGAGUACUUAUUACUAUUAGAACUCUAUUGGGGGUUUCAUGCUUGAUUGCAGCUGUGCUAAUUAAGUUUCGAAGGAGACAUUUAUCUAUGGAUGAUACAAUUGAAGAAUUUCUUCAAAUGCAAAAUAAUUUAAUGCCCAUCAGGUAUUCUUAUUCCGAAGUAAAGAAAAUGACAAAAUGUUUUAAGGAUAAAUUAGGACAAGGUGGUUAUGGUUCAGUUUUCAAAGGAACGCUUCGAAGCGGGCGUCUUGUUGCAAUAAAAUUGUUAAACAUGUCGAAAUCACAUGGGCAAGAUUUCAUCAAUGAAGUUGCUACCAUAGGAAGGAUUCAUCAUGUUAAUGUGGUACAACUUAUUGGUUUUUGUGUAGAAGGAUCAAAACAAGCACUUGUUUAUGAUUUUAUGCCAAAUGGUUCUUUGGAUAAGAUCAUAUUUUCAGGGGAAAGAGAUACCACUUUAUGUUGGGAAAAAAAUUUGAGAUUGCAAUUGGUGUGGCCCGAGGAAUAGAAUACUUGCAUCAAGGAUGUCAAAUGCAGAUUUUACAUUUUGACAUCAAACCACAUAACAUUCUUCUAGAUGAGAACUUCACUCCAAAAAUUUCAGAUUUUGGCCUAGCAAAAUUGUAUGCAGUAGAUCACAGUAUUGUGUCUCUCACUGCAGCACGAGGUACUCUCGGAUAUAUUGCUCCGGAAUUGUUUUACAAGAACAUUGGGAGUAUCUCACAUAAGGUUGAUGUUUAUAGUUUUGGAAUGUUGCUAAUGGAAAUGGUGGGAAAGAGAAGGAAUUUGAAUGCAUUUGCUGAGCAAUCUAGUCAAAUAUAUUUCCCUUCAUGGAUUUAUGAUCGAUUUGACAAGGAGGAGGAUAUAGAGUUAGGAGAUGUCACUGAGAAUGAAAAGAAAACUGUAAGAAAGAUGGUCAUAACUGCUUUUUGGUGCAUUCAGAUAAAGCCUACUGAUCGUCCUUCAAUCAGUAAGGUCUUGGAGAUGCUUGAAGGUGAGGUUGAGCUACUUGAGUUACCUACAAAACCUUUUUCUAUUAUCUCUUGACAGCUCAUCCAAAGACUUUGCAAGUAACAAUUUGGAAAAGGAGCCUACCACGUCAACCCUUGAUGCUACCGUCAAGGGCAUGGAAGUGCCUCAAAUAUAAAUACUGGGAUUUAAAAUAUGGAAACCUUUAGCUUUAAUAAGUUCUACUCCCUUACCCCCUGAUGUUGAUGUAUGGUUUGAUUUCUCCUUACUUUCUAAUGUAGGGUUUUGGUUUCCUUUUAUUUAUUUUUCUUGUUCGUUACUUUUUUAUAUAUUUUAAAUUAUUAUUCAAAUAAGUAAUGAAUUAUGGACUCAUAGAUAUGAAUGAUGAUUAAAAAUAAUCAAAAAAUCAAUGAACAUAAAAAUGAUGAAGGAGAGCUUAACUCUCUAAUAUCUCUCAUAUAUCAAUUUAAUUCUGAAGAUCUAUAUAUUCAUAUAUACAUGCAUGAUUAUGAUUGUGAUAAUUAAUUUAAUUUAUUUUUUUUAUUUAAAUUAAUUAGGAUGUGAAUUUUGUCGUAAAGCAUAAACUUGGUAAUUUGUUUUGUUAGGGAAUGAGAUUUGAACUCAACUUUUUCAAUAAGAAGAUAGAUUAAACUUACCAUUAAAUUUUCAAUGAAUAGAGAUAAAAUCGCACUCCUCGUUUAAAAGAAGAACUGUUUAAUUACAAACACUCUGGCGCUAGGAAUGUUAUUGAGAGAUGUUUUGGAUUCCUUAAGAUGAGACGGGCAAUACUUAAAGGGAAGUCUUGGUACCUAGCGAAAACAAAAUGUAGAAUUAUCUCUGCUUGUGCAUUGUUACACAAUCACAUUAGGAGAGAAAUGACACAUUAUCCACUUAAGGAUGAAAUGGAUGAAGAGUAUGUGGAAUCAAAAGCGAUGGAAAAUGCAGAUAUGAUUCAAUACAUUGAGACAUCAAAUGCAUGGACUACUUGGAGAAAUAACUUGGCACAAGAACUGUGGAAUGAUUGGAUAGCUUCUAGAAAUGAAACUUAAUUUUUUAUUUGGUACAACAAAUGUUGUAUGCUUUAUUUGUAAUAACUCAAUUUUGUGUUGAUUGAGACAUAUUUGUAUUUGUUCUUAAUUAGAUAAGUUAUGUUUCUUCUUGAAUUUUUAAUUAACUAUUGUAUACUAUAUAUUUGUUAUUAUGGCAUUUCUAUAUUAUGUUUUAUACUUAUAGAUGGAAGUUGCAUCGUCUCAAGGAUUAGGAAGGACAAGCAAAAAAUCCACCCAUUAAUGGACACCUACUAAAGAUGGAGUCUUAAUUGACUACUGCAUUGAUCUUGUGAAUGAAGGAAGUUGGGCUAGAGAUAAUGGGACAUUCAAGCCUGGUUACUUGCAACAACUUGAGAAAUGGAUGAAAGAAAGGAUCCCAAAUUGCAACAUAACGACUAUCCCCCAUAUUAACUCUAGAAUGAGGUUGUUGAAGACACAAUAUAGGGAAAUUGUUGAGAUGAUAUCACAUUUCGCUUCUGUAUUCGGUUGGGAUGAUGUUAAGAAAUGUGUUACUUGUGAUGAUGAUGUUUGGAUUGGCUAGGUUAAGGUAAUGAUUCUAAUUUAUUUUACAACAUUAUUAUAUUCUAAAGUUAGGCAUAUAUUUGGUUUUGCAUGAUUUUUUGAUUCCUUAUAUUUGGUUAUAUAUAUAUAGUCACCCAGCUGCUGCAGGACUUAGAAACAAGCCUUGUCCUCACUUUGAUCAAUUAGCCAUUAUAUUUGGGAAGGAUAGAACAACUAGGGAAGGAGCAAAGUCAUCAGCUGAUGUAGUAGAGAACAUAGAAACUGAGGAAGUUGCAUUUGCAGGAACAAAGGUAGCUUUAGAAGCUUUCAGUGCAUUGAAUGUUGAUGAAGAUGACAAUGGUGAUGAUGAUGUUUCCCUUGCUCAAGCUACCAAUAGUGAGGGAUCCACUGCUGCUAAAAAAAGGACUAUGAAGCAAGGUGACAGAGAGGUGAGUCGCAAAAAAACUAAGACAAAAAGUAAUGGUCACAACAUUGUUCAUGCAUUCCAAUCUAGUGUGGAUAAGAUUGAAGAAAUCUGUCAAGGUGCAUGGGAAGGAAUUGAUACAGUAGCAAGUUGUUUUCAAUUCAUGGCUGAAAAUGCAAGGUUGAAAAAGCUUGUAGUUGAGAUAGUUCAGGGAGUUGAAGGUUUGACUCCCAAAGAAAUUAUUAAGGCUGGACAUAUCAUCUCUAGUGAUAUGUGGAAGAUAAAUUAUCUAUUUUCAUUGUCAGAGGAGUUGCAAAAAAUUUAUGUGAAGGCUUUGCUUAGUGGCUCAAUCUAAAGCAAUGAUGGGUAUUGUUAUUGCAAAGAACUAGUUAUCAAUUUAGGGUGAACUUUAACAGUGUUAUUAAAUUUGAACAAUUUUGUAUUUUAAAAAUGGUGUGUCUAUCCUUUAGGUGACUUCAACUUUGGUUUUAUUAAAACUUUAUGACUUUUGGUUUAGAGCAUCAAUCAAGGAACUUCAUUUAUGAUUUUCAAUUAUAUGGUUUUGGUGAUGUUAUGCUUGAUAUUUUGUUUUAGCUUGAUAGCAAGUUAUUUUGAAUUUAUGAUAUUUUCAGAAGAAAUUAAUUGGAGAUUAAGAAUUAUGGGUAUUUUGUUGGCAAUUUGCUAUUGGUUACAACAGAGAAAGCUAUCACAUUAAUGUAUACAUAUAAAACGUAUUAAGAAAUAAAAAUAAAAUAUUAUCUUCUAAAAAAAAUUUAAAAUAAAAUAUACAAUAUAAGAAAUUAUAUUAAAAAUAAAAAUAUAAUAUAUACUUGUAAUAAGAAAUGAAAAAUAAAAUAUAUUUAAUUAAAAAUAUAUUUUAAAAUGACAUUAUAUAAAAAUUAACAAUAAAAAAAUACAUGUUCAACUUGUAUUUUAAUAUAUAAGGGUAGUUUUGGAAAUUAACAUUACAUACAUUGUAAAGUACUUGUAAAACAAACACUGUAAUGCUAUCUUCUCUGCAUUUUAAUCAUUACAUUACUUAUAUCUCAAACAUUGCAAUGUUAUCUUCUUUGCAAUCACAUUGCUUGCAAUCACAUUACCUGUAAUCAUAUUACCUGUAAUCAUAUUACAUUGUAAAGUACCAAACGCUACAUUAAUUUACUAUAUUUACUAUUCGGAUGAUUGCGCCAUCAAUUCUCGGUUCCCAUAUUUCUAUAUCAAUUUAUCUGCAUCUCCCUUCCAUGUAUCUAUGGAACCAGUUAACUACACUUUGUUCAACUGCUCAAAAAACCCAACUGAAGAUUCUCUCCUUCUAUGAGAAAACUUGCUUGGACUUCAUCGAUGGCUUUAAUAUUAGAGCUGCUCCUUCUGAUGGCUGGGAAUAUUAUAACCUGUUAAAUUGCAGCAAGGUUGUUGACAUCUCAGUAAAACCGGCGGGACCAAUAAGUAGAGAGAAUCUUUACUUAGAAUGGUCCAAACCGAUGUGCGCCAGGUGUGAAGCCGAAGGCAAAGGUUGUAGAGUAAAGAAUAAUACAGAGGAUCAAACAGAGUGCUAUGACAUCCCCUACAAAGGUAUAUGCCUUCAACUUAAAUUUACUUGUUUCUUUUACUUAUUUUCUCUUACCGAUUAAGAAAUUGUUACUACCCAAACUAGCACCUAAAUUUUACACUAUUUGAUAUAUAAGAAAAAAUUAAAAAAAAAAUGUUACUACAUGCUACAAUUACAUAUAAUCACAUAUUCAAUGAUACCUAGGCUUAAAUACUGUAGGAUAGUCAGUAGGAUUUUAAAGUUUUGACUUGAUGAGUUUGAAAGACUUGAUAAAAAAAACAGUUAUUACUGAUCACUUAUUAUAAGAAUCUCGAUACUCUUAUGUAACAUCUUUCAUACAUGAUCUUUUUGACUUAAUCAACUAAACUUCAUAACUUAAUCUCGAUAAUUAUUUGACUAAACUUGAUAAUUUUUUACUUGAUCAACCAUUUUAUAUAUCAAAUUUAAUUGAUUAAUCUUUUUGUUUCUUUCUUUCACUUUAUUUUGAAAAUAUUCCAACACCACUUGACACUAAAACUUAAAACUGUUUAAGAUUGCUCACUCCUCUUUUCUAUGUAUCUCUCUUCCUAUUAAGUUGGUGUAGUGUAACGCUGCUUCACUUCCAUUUACGAAGAAAACACUCCUUGCUUGUAUUAUAUUUACAAUUGAAUUAAUGUUUGAAAGACAUAAAAAGCUUAUACAUUUCCAACAUUUUACAGGCCAUCCUACAAAGCUAAAGCGAAUACUUGCAGGUAUGGAAUUGUUUUUUGUAACUAAUGAUUUUCGACUUUAUUUAUAACGAGAGGUAAUCACUCCUUAUCUCAAGAUUAAAACUAAUUAAACAUGUGCUAAGUUGGAGCAUAUUAUUUGCAGGUGUAAUCCCAGCUUCAUUUGUUCUUGCACUAAUUGUUGUUGCCCUUUACAAGUUGUACUAUUUAGAAAAAACAAAGAAAGAGAAUCAACUCAAGGUUGAAGAGUUUUUGGAAGAUUAUAAAUCUCUUAAGCCCUCCAGAUACUCUUACGCUGAUAUUAAGAGAAUAACAAAUCAAUUCAAGGAGAAACUUGGAGAAGGAGGUUAUGGAACUGUGUUCAAAGGAAGACUUUCCAAUGAUGUUUUGGUAGCUGUUAAGGUCCUCAACAAUUUCAAAGGAAAUGGUGAAGAGUUCAUCAACGAAGUGGGCUCAAUGAGUCGAAUCCACCAUGUCAAUGUAGCUCGCUUGGUUGGAUUUUGCGCUGAUGGAUAUAAACGAGCUCUUGUUUACGAGUAUUUGCCCAAUGAGUCAUUGGAGAAGUUCAUAUUUUCUGCCAAGGGUGAGAGUCAUUUCCUUGGUUGGGAUAAGCUUCAAGACAUUGCUCUGGGCAUAGCCAAAGGGAUUGAAUACUUGCAUCAAGGUUGCGAGCAACGGAUCCUCCAUUUUGACAUCAAACCUCACAACAUUUUGUUAGACCAGAACUUCACCCCUAAGAUCUCUGACUUUGGUCUAGCUAAGUUGUGUUCCAAGGAGCUAAGUGCUGUUUCCAUGACAGCAGCCAGAGGAACCAUGGGCUACAUUGCACCUGAGGUAUUAUCUAGGAACUUUGGAAAUGUUUCAUAUAAAUCAGAUGUUUAUAGUUUUGGAAUGCUACUACUUGAAAUGGUUGGAGGGAGAAAAAACAUUGAUGUUACAGUGGAGAAUUUAAGUCAGGUGUACUUCCCAGAAUGGGU
RNAcentral lists this long non-coding RNA (37469 nucleotides) under Theobroma cacao (cacao). Its description in RNAcentral is "long non-coding RNA (TCAC_LNC001535)". The record is from RNAcentral. Lineage: Eukaryota; Viridiplantae; Streptophyta; Magnoliopsida; Malvales; Malvaceae.